This is a non-coding RNA of Odocoileus virginianus texanus, 3656 nucleotides long. The record is from RefSeq and is a predicted model, not a curated record. NCBI's taxonomy places the organism in Eukaryota, Metazoa, Chordata, Mammalia, Artiodactyla, Cervidae.
CCCAUUCUUGGUCUGUGACUUGGGACUCUCCUGUCUCCCGAAGUGUAGCUUCUCACCUCGGGCCUCAGGGCUUUACACGCCAUCUAAUGCUGAUGGUUGCCGAAUGGGCAUCUCCAGCUCGGAUCCCUCCUCUGAGCUCCUGAUGUUGACAUCAGAGCAAUACGCACAGUGGUUAAGACUCUGGCUCUGCUGAGUCUUACCUCUGACAGCCUACUUACUGUGUCUAAGCGAGUAAGUCACUUAACCUCUCUGUGAACCAGCUGUCCUAGAGGUGCAAGGUGGGAGUAACAGAAUCCACCUCAGAGGGUUGAAGACUGAAUGCGUUAGUACAUGGAAGGCGUCUUAAACGGUGUCUGGCACACAGGAAGAGCGCGAUCAGUGCCAUGUACCUGCGUCACCUCUCUGCUUUCCUCUUCUCUCCUCUGCCCUGCUCUCUUUCCUUGAUCAUGCUUCUUUGUUCUCUGAACAUCAAGCACUCAUUUCUACCCAAGGACCUUUAUACCAGUUGUCCCCUCUGCCUAGACCAUACUUCUGUUCUUGGCAUGGUUGGCUCAUUCUUAGCUAAAGCUUCAACUCCUCACAAAGGUUUCCCCAACCCCUCAUUUUAAAGCAGUGACACCCCCAUUCAUUUCUCUUCUCACCAUAUUCAUUUUCUUCACAGAAGUUGCCAUGAUCACAAAUUCUGUUUAUUCAUUUGUCUUUUUCCAAAUAGUCUGUCUCCCUUAUUGGAUCAUAAGCUCUAUGAAAGUUAAGGACCUUUUCUGAUUUAUGCGUCAUUGUAUCCUGGGCCUAAAAUAGUGUCUGGCAUUCAAUUUGGUUUUAAUGAAAGAAAAUGAAAGCACUCAGUCAAACCUUUACCUUUUAAUCACUGUUACGUCUUUAAAAAAAAAAAAAGUAGUAAAAUAAACUUGACCCUUUUAAAGUAUACAAUUGAGUACUUUCACACUAUUGUGUAAACAUCAUCACCAUCUAUCUCCAGAACUUUUUCAUCUUCCCCAAUUCAAAUUCUGACCCAUUAAACAGUAACUCCCCAUUUCCCGCUGCCUCUAGGCCCUGGCAACUUUCUAUGAAUUUGACUGCUCUAGGAACCUCACACAGGAGAAAUCAAAUAAUAUUCAUCCUUUUGUGUCAGUCUUAUUGUUAUUUAGUAUCAGGUAAAUUUAUCCAUGUUGUAGCAUGUGACAGAAUCUCCUUUUUUAAGGCCAUUUAAUAUUUCAUUGAAUGUACAUACCACAUUUUGUGUAUCCAUUCAUUUUUGAUGGACAUCUGGAUUGCUCUGACCUUUUGGCCAUUGUGAAUAAUGCUGCUCAGUUUCUUCCUGGCUACUCUCCCAAACUCCACUUCACCAAUACUCUUCAUCAUCCAAAUAAAAUGUCUUCAUGCAGACUCAUUUCCCACUUUACUCAUUAUGUGUUAUAAAAAACAAAUUACUUCAGAGGACAAAUAGAAUACCAAAAUGGAAGCUUAUCGACCACUCCCUUGCUUACCAUGCUCUGGAGCAUUCUAAGAUGGGUUGUACCUUCCAUGUAAGACAUUAUAACCUCAAUGACCUGAAGGGACUAAUAAGGAACCAUUCCUGGAGACAGACAGAAUAGCAGUACUAUGUGUGCUUGGGCCUGUGCCUACAUAGGUAUAGCUCAGCCUUGUUAAUUGUCCUUGACAUUCUUUCACUGUGGCAUGAAAAACAGAUAGGACAAAGCAUGCUCUCAGAGUUCCUGAAGAGACUAUUCUCUGAGGAAGAUGGACUAUAAACAAAUUUGCCUUAGGUCCCUGCGCCAACUUCACGCGUUGCGACGCACGCACCCCCCCGGAGGCCGCGCUUCUGAGGUAACGCGCUAGGAGCCGAGUUCUUUGGUGGAGCAACGCAUGGCGGGAAUGAGGUGGUAUGAGAAAUGAAGCCAACAGGUACAGACCCGAGAAUCUUAUCUCUGGCUGCUGAAGUUGCAAAAAGUCCUGAGCAGAAUGUCCCUGUUAUACUGUUGAAGUUAAAAGUCAUUGCUGUGUUGGCUUGGAACCAGGAGAAGAUGCAGAAGAAUUUUACAAUGAAUUACUUCCAUCCGCUGCAGAAAAUUUUCUGGUUUUGGGGAGGCGAUUACAAACAUGUUUCAUCAAUGCAGCUAAGGGUGAAGAAAAAGAUGCAUUACUACACUUUUUUGAAGUUGUGACUGAUUCUCUCUUCUGGCUAUUGGGAGGCCAUGUUCAACUCAUCCAAAAUGUGGUGAUUUACUCAGAAUAGAAGGGAAAAUCCUGCAUUCAAUUUUAGAUGAAGUUGUUUUCAAACUUUCAUCAACUAGUCCAGUCAUAAGAGGUACUGCUACAAAGCUACUACUGUUGAUGGCUGAAUCCCAUCAGGAAAUUUUGAUUUUACUGAGACUAAGUCCCUGCUACAAAGGACUUAGAAGUCUACUAAAUAAACAAGAACCUGGGACAGAGUUUAGUCAAGAACUUAGACAGCUCAUUGGUCUUUUAAGCCCUAAGGCCUAUCAGGAAGUAAAAGACCAGAAACGACAUAAAGCAGCUUGCUUGAUUCAAGCUUAUUGGAAGGGUUUCCAGACUAGAAAGAGAUUGAAAAAGCUUCCAUCUGCUGUGAUUACUUUGCAGAGGAGUUUCAGAUCUAAACGAACAAAGAUGUUAAUGAAGCUAAGUAGACAGAAGGAAGAAGAGGACCACAGAUUACAGCUGCAAAUUCAAAGGCAGAGAGCCAUGAGACUUUCCCGAGAAAUACGGCUGAGUAUGCUUGAAAUAGUUCAUCCAGGUCAGGUGGAAAAACAUAACCGGGAAAUAGAAGAGAAAUCAGCACUGAUUAUCCAGAAACAUUGGAAAGGGUACAGGGAAAGGAAAAAUUUUCGUCAACAGAGGCCAUCUCUUACGGAAUAUAAAGCGGCUGUCAUACUUCAGAGAGCAGGUUCUCAGAUAUCAGAUGUGGCCAGCAGGGAGCUCCAUUCCCAAGCACAAGAACGACUGCAACACUACUUCAUGGGCAGGGCUCUAGAAGAGAGAGCUCAACAGCACAGGGAGGCACUGAUGGCUCAGAUCAGCACCAACAUUGAACAGUUGAUGAAAGCACCAAGUCUGAAGGAGGCAGAAGGAAAAGAUCCUGAGCUCUUCCUAAGUAGAUCCAGGCCUGUGGCAGCCAAAGCCAAGCAGGCCCAUCUUACCACCCUGAAACAUAUACAAGCACCCUGGUGGAAGAAGCUUGGGGAAGAAGCAGGAGAUGAUAUUGAUGUCCCAAAGGAUGAACUUAGUGUAGAAUUAGGAACUUUAUUCAUUGGUGGAACCAAACCACCUUAAGUUACCUGGAGGAAUGAAUAUCUAUAUUUAAAGAGAUUAUAUUGCUUCUACCUCUGACAUGCUAGUAGACUAGUGUUAUCCUUAACUCAUGGUUUUCCAGAAGUUCUUCUCCAAACAAGACUUGAAGGAAAUAGGCAAAGAGUUAUUUUCUACCUCAAUUUCAAUUCUUUUCUUUUUCCACACCUCCAUCCUUGGCCACACAUACAAAUUGGUGUGGCUUUUAUUAUGAAACUAAACUCAGCAUUAUAUUCUGUUGGUAAUAUAUGUUUGAAAUGUGAUAUUUCUUUUUUUGUUUCUGCUGUUUUCCAACUAAAAGGUGUUUUCUAAAUAAAUAUUUUCAACAAUUGUUCUGGAAAAAAAAAAAA